GGUGAGUAACGCGUUGGUGACCUGUCCCGAAGAGAGGGAUAACAGUUCGAAAGGACUGCUAAUACCGCAUAAUCUCUGACUGGUUAGAGCCAGGCAGAGGAAAGCAGCGAUGCACUUUGGGAGGGGCCUGCGUCCCAUCAGCUAGUUGGUAAGGUAAAGGCUUACCAAGGCGACGACGGGUAGGGGGCCUGAGAGGGUGAUCCCCCACACUGGCACUGAAACACGGGCCAGACACCUACGGGUGGCAGCAGUAGGGAAUAUUGCACAAUGGGCGAAAGCCUGAUGCAGCAACGCCGCGUGCGCGAUGAAGGCCUUCGGGUCGUAAAGCGCUUUUCUGGGAGAAGAGGAAGGACGGUAUCUCAGGAAGAAGGAUCGGAUAGCUACGUGCCACCAGCCGCGGUAAAACGUAGGAUCCGAGCGUUAUCCGAAUUCACUGGGCGUAAAGCGCGUGCAGGCGGUCUGAUAAGUUGGACGUGAAAUCUCCUGGCUCAACUGGGAGAGGCUGUUCAAUACUGUUAGACUAGAGGUCAGUAGAGGGAGGUGGAAUUCCCGGUGUAGUGUUGAAAUGUGUAGCAUAUCGGGCGGAACACCAGUGGCGAAGGCGGCCUCCUGGACUGUACCUGACGCUCAGACGCGAAAGCUAGGGAGCGAACGGGAUUAGAAACCCCUGGUAGUCCUAGCCGUAAACCAUGUAGACUGAGUGUUGCAGGGUAAAACCAGCUGAUGCUGAAGCCUAACGCGAUAAGUCUACUAACUGGUGACAAACUGCCCCGGAGUUUA
Molecule: ribosomal RNA, 780 nt
Filed under: uncultured bacterium
Lineage: Bacteria
Description: bacterial SSU rRNA
Rfam family: Bacterial small subunit ribosomal RNA
Source: RNAcentral